Molecule: ribosomal RNA, 306 nt
Filed under: uncultured bacterium
Lineage: Bacteria
Description: partial 16S ribosomal RNA
Rfam family: Bacterial small subunit ribosomal RNA
Source: RNAcentral
GACAGCAGCAGCCACGGUAAUACAGAGGGUGCGAGCGUUAAUCGGAUUUACUGGGCGUAAAGCGUGCGUAGGCGGCUUCUUAAGUCGGAUGUGAAAUCCCUGAGCUUAACUUAGGAAUUGCAUUCGAUACUGGGAAGCUAGAGUAUGGGAGAGGAUGGUAGAAUUCCAGGUGUAGCGGUGAAAUGCGUAGAGAUCUGGAGGAAUACCGAUGGCGAAGGCAGCCAUCUGGCCUAAUACUGACGCUGAGGUACGAAAGCAUGGGGAGCAAACAGGAUUAGAUACCCCCGUAGUCCCUGUCUCUUAUAC